UGAAGUAAAAGUCGUAACAAGGCAUAUCAAUAAGCGGAGGACUCCGUAGGUGAACCUGCGGAAGGAUCAUUA
This 72-nucleotide ribosomal RNA is filed under the name Amanita sabulosa. RNAcentral's name for it is "partial 18S ribosomal RNA". The record is from RNAcentral. Lineage: Eukaryota; Fungi; Basidiomycota; Agaricomycetes; Agaricales; Amanitaceae.